CCUACGGGCGGCAGCAGUGAGGAAUAUUGGUCAAUGGACGGAAGUCUGAACCAGCCAUGCCGCGUGCAGGAAGACGGCUCUAUGAGUUGUAAACUGCUUUUGUACAAGGGUAAACCUGAAUACGUGUAUUCAGCUGAAAGUACUUUACGAAUAAGGAUCGGCUAACUCCGUGCCAGCAGCCGCGGUAAUACGGAGGAUCCAAGCGUUAUCCGGAUUUAUUGGGUUUAAAGGGUGCGUAGGCGGAAUGAUAAGUUAGAGGUGAAAUGUCCGGGCUUAACUCGGGAACUGCCUCUAAUACUGUUGAUCUAGAGAGUUGAUGCGGUAGGCGGAAUGUAUGGUGUAGCGGUGAAAUGCUUAGAGAUCAUACAGAACACCGAUUGCGAAGGCAGCUUACCAAUCUAUAUCUGACGUUGAGGCACGAAAGCGUGGGGAGCGAACAGGAUUAGAUACCCCUGUAGUC
RNAcentral lists this ribosomal RNA (460 nucleotides) under uncultured bacterium. RNAcentral's name for it is "partial 16S ribosomal RNA". It matches the Rfam family "Bacterial small subunit ribosomal RNA", at positions 338 to 795 of the family's 1533-position model. The record is from RNAcentral.